GAAUUCAACUCCUACGGGAGGCAGCAGUAGGGAGUAUUGGGCAAUGCUCGCAAGAGUGACCCAGCCAUGCCGCGUGCAGGAAGAAGGCCUUCUGGGUUGUAAACUGCUUUUGGAAGGGAACAAAACGACACUGCGGUGUAACUUGAGUGUACCUUCAGAAUAAGCACCGGCUAACUCCGUGCCAGCAGCCGCGGUAAUACGGAGGGUGCAAGCGUUGUCCGGAUUUAUAGGGUUUAAAGGGUGCGUAGGCGGCCUGUCAAGUCAGAGGUGAAAGACUAUUGCUCAACAAUGGCAGUGCCUUUGAUACUGAUAGGCUUGAGUAUAGAUGAGGCUGGCGGAAUGGGUGGUGUAGCGGUGAAAUGCAUAGAUACCAUCCAGAACACCGAUUGCGAAGGCAGCCGGCUAAACUACAACUGACGCUGAGGCACGAAAGCGUGGGGAUCGAACAGGAUUAGAUACCCGUGUAGUCCAGGCGUU
RNAcentral lists this ribosomal RNA (477 nucleotides) under uncultured bacterium. RNAcentral's name for it is "bacterial SSU rRNA". It matches the Rfam family "Bacterial small subunit ribosomal RNA", at positions 328 to 803 of the family's 1533-position model. The record is from RNAcentral.